RNAcentral lists this non-coding RNA (81 nucleotides) under uncultured Garciella sp. RNAcentral describes it as "Cyclic di-GMP-I riboswitch". It matches the Rfam family "c-di-GMP-I riboswitch aptamer", at positions 7 to 84 of the family's 87-position model. Rfam says of the family: GEMM was predicted in a large-scale screen for bacterial structured RNA regulatory elements. Genes associated with GEMM are involved in a diverse array of functions, including chemotaxis regulation, signal transduction, secretion and chitin. Lineage: Bacteria; Bacillati; Bacillota; Clostridia; Eubacteriales; Eubacteriaceae. The record is from RNAcentral.
GAAACGGCAAACUUGUCGAAAGGCAAGGACGCAAAGCUCCAGGUCUAAGGUGUAUAUAUGCACUAAGAUGGCUGAGUUGCC